UACGGAGGGUGCGAGCGUUGUUCGGAAUUACUGGGCGUAAAGCGCGUGCAGGCGGCCGACUAAGUCAGGUGUGAAAGCCCGGGGCUCACCUCCGGAAGUGCGCUUGAAACUGGUCGGCUAGAGUACGGGAGAGGGAAGCGGAAUUCCAGGUGUAGCGGUGAAAUGCGUAGAUAUCUGGAGGAACACCGGUGGCGAAGGCGGGUAGCUGGGCCGACACUGACGCUGAGGCGCGAAAGCCAGGGGAGCGAACGGG
Molecule: ribosomal RNA, 253 nt
Filed under: uncultured bacterium
Lineage: Bacteria
Description: partial 16S ribosomal RNA
Rfam family: Bacterial small subunit ribosomal RNA
Source: RNAcentral